ACGGAGGAUGCGAGCGUUAUCCGGAUUUAUUGGGUUUAAAGGGUGCGUAGGCGGCACGCCAAGUCAGCGGUGAAAUUUUCGGGCUCAACCGGGACUUUGCCGUUGAUACUGGCGAGCUAGAGUGCAGAAGAGGCAGGCGGAAUGCGUAGUGUAGCGGUGAAAUGCAUAGAUAUCACGCAGAACACCGAUUGCGAAGGCAGCCUGCUGGGCUGUGACAGACGCUGAGGCACGAAAGCGUGGGUAUCGAACAG
This 251-nucleotide ribosomal RNA is filed under the name uncultured prokaryote. RNAcentral's name for it is "partial 16S rRNA". It matches the Rfam family "Bacterial small subunit ribosomal RNA", at positions 525 to 775 of the family's 1533-position model. The record is from RNAcentral.